CACCCACGAGUGGAGUGACUGGCUGGUCCAUGGACCAGUCAGCCUCAGACUGGCGGCGAGUCACCACACAGUCACACACCGCUAUCACCAUGGGCAACUUGCCCGUUCCCGAUGGGCUUGUACCGUGGGCCUGCUCACGUUAGUCACGGCGCUUGCCACCCCUGUCCCCGAUGCAAGCGGGGAGCCAACACCAGAACAUCCCCAGGAAAGAGCAAAAAAGAUCGUCGACGGUUUGGGUGGCAUGAGCAUCGGUUCAAUCUUCCCGGGGCCGCACGGAGAGCAACCACAGCUAGAGGUCCUGUCACAGCCACCAAGUCCGUCACCGAUCCCACGGCCACUCGGUGGCCUCGAGACUGAGACCGCCUCCAUCACUCCUGUACAGGCAAUCGGCUACAGUGGCUACAUUGUAGUAGUUGUCGUCUUGUUUAUGUACUGCAAACCACGCCGGAAGAACUGAGGCUGGAAGCGUCGCCUUGUCUCGCACGUAUUGUGUGUAAAAAGGAGCUGUUUUCAAGGAGAGAGUAUACACGUAAAAAUAAAUAAAUAAUUAUAAUAUUAAAGUUAUGAAAUCCUCAGAAAGAGGGCUACAUCAUCUAGUCAA
Molecule: RNA transcript, 601 nt
Organism: Thrips palmi
Lineage: Eukaryota; Metazoa; Arthropoda; Insecta; Thysanoptera; Thripidae
Exons: 3
Source: RefSeq, a predicted model, not a curated record